GACGAACGCUGGCGACGCGCUUAACACAUGCAAGUCGAACGGAAAGGCCUGCUUUCCCUUGUGGAUUGCGGGUACUCGAGUGGCGAACGGGUGAGUAACACGUGAGUGAUCUGCCCCCAACUUGGGUAUAAGCCUGGGAAACUGGGUCUAAUUCCCGAUAGGACUGCAGGGUGGUGCCUGUGGUGGAAAACGAUUUUCUAGUGGUUGGGGAUGAGCUCGCGGCCUAUCAGCUUGUUGGUGGGGCAAUGGCCUACCAAGGCGGCGACGGGUAGCCGGCCUGAGAGGGUGGACGGCCACAUUGGGACUGAGAUACGGCCCAGACUCCUACGGGAGGCAGCAGUGGGGAAGAUUGCACAAUGGGCGGAGGCCUGAUGCAGCGACGCCGCGUGGGGGAUGACGGCCUUCGGGUUGUAAACUCCUUUCGACCGCGAGGAAGCCACCUGGUUGGAAGGGUGGUGACGGUAGUGGUAGAAGAAGCACCGGCUAACUACGUG
Molecule: ribosomal RNA, 494 nt
Filed under: uncultured bacterium
Lineage: Bacteria
Description: partial 16S ribosomal RNA
Rfam family: Bacterial small subunit ribosomal RNA
Source: RNAcentral